Molecule: ribosomal RNA, 253 nt
Filed under: uncultured bacterium
Lineage: Bacteria
Description: partial 16S ribosomal RNA
Rfam family: Bacterial small subunit ribosomal RNA
Source: RNAcentral
UACGUAGGCAGCAAGCGUUGUUCGGAUUUACUGGGUGGAAAGGGUGCGCAGGCGGAACUGUGCGUCGAGGGUUAAAGACUUAGGCUCAACCUAAGGAAUGCCCUCGAUACGGCAGAUCUUGAGUGCGAGAGAGGAUAGUGGAAUUCCUGGUGUAGCGGUGAAAUGCGUAGAGAUCAGGAGGAACACCAGUGGCGAAGGCGGCUAUCUGGCUCGCAACUGACGCUCAGGCACGAAAGCGUGGGGAGCAAACAGG